AUCCUUUUGUAGUUCAUAAGCGUGAUGAUUGGGUGUUCAUGCUGUGUGUGAUAUGUGGCACCCUUAUAUCUUGUUACAAUGUCAGCACAUUACCCAUCUGACG
This is a small nucleolar RNA of Herpailurus yagouaroundi (jaguarundi), 103 nucleotides long. RefSeq annotates it as small nucleolar RNA U13. Lineage: Eukaryota; Metazoa; Chordata; Mammalia; Carnivora; Felidae. The transcript has a single exon. The record is from RefSeq and is a predicted model, not a curated record.